CAUGUUUUAACUCUUUACACAGCUCCAGAGUACAGGUCAAACAGCCUUUCUCUGCCCAGACCGAGCGGGGGGCAAACAGCUCACAGGGAGGAAAUGACCCCCCUGAUUUUUGUGGCCUUUCAUUUUCCCUGUAACAGGAAGAUGGAUCCCUGAAGGCUUCAGCUCCAUCUGCGGAGGAGGGCAUUUAUCCUGGCUCAAUAAACUCCAGUACUAAUUUACCCAGAACCUGACAGUUUUGCAGUGUUUGCUGCUAGUUCUUUGCUAAUGCUUUUGGGUAAAACACAUAUUUCGAAGCCAUUCUUACAGAAGGUGAGGAAAAUCCAAACCAGACAACCAGUGAGAACACCAAUGUGUUGGUGACAGUCACAGAUUAGCACCACUAAUGCUCUUAUUCCUUCAUUUCAGGUACUACAGUCUCCACAGACUCCUCCGUCCAGGCUGUAACAGGUCAAUCCCAAUCGACAACACACAGCCCUGAAGUGAAGAACCACACCUCAGAGCCUUCAGUAAAAUCGAUGACACCAGCUGACCUGAAUCUCACCUCCGUGGGUCAGACGACGACAGCCAAAUCCUCUUCGCUCGCUACAACGCUACUGGCGUUGAUCAUGCAAGAUGAGAAAUCUAGUGACAGCAGAAGCACAGCAGCUUCACCACCUCAAGGUCAAGAGCCCAAGACAAGCGAGAGUGCCACGACAUCCACAACUCAAGGUGCUUCCUCCUUCCUCUCACAGAGAGGCACCUCAAAACCCGUCACACCAACACCGGAGUCCUCUGGCUACUUGCCUGAGCCCACUCCGACGGAUGACAAGUCACCGCUGACGGUGGUAGCUUUUGGUAAGGUCUUGUGCAACCUGGGGAGAGGAAGGGGGGUCUGGUUCGGACACCCAGCUUCAAAGAUGCUUCCCUGGAGAUGGCUCCACAGUUUUCUCCUUCAGUGUGCCUGCUCCUGGAGUUUUCAGAGUGCAAGGGAAAACCCUAGAGAAAAAGACUUGCCACCAACAGGCAAUAAAGCACCUAAUAAAUACUCCCAGCCGUGCCCAGUAUACAAGGGACAGACAGUUUGGAAAUCCACCACGGCUACACCUGAGCUUGGGAUCUUGCUCCCAGCACCAGUGUUUGCCCCAGCUCCACAUUAG
This 1136-nucleotide long non-coding RNA is filed under the name Calidris pygmaea (Spoon-billed sandpiper). Its description in RNAcentral is "lncRNA (ENSCPGG00000000694.1)". The record is from RNAcentral. Lineage: Eukaryota; Metazoa; Chordata; Aves; Charadriiformes; Scolopacidae.